Long non-coding RNA from Cyprinus carpio (common carp), 1456 nucleotides. RefSeq lists it as uncharacterized. The transcript is spliced from 3 exons. NCBI's taxonomy places the organism in Eukaryota, Metazoa, Chordata, Actinopteri, Cypriniformes, Cyprinidae. The record is from RefSeq and is a predicted model, not a curated record.
GAGAAAGAGAUGAAAUGGGAGAGUGAAGCGAGAGAGAGAGAGAGAGAGAGAGAGAGCAAGAAAGAAAGAGGGAAGGAAGAAGAGAGAGAGUACCGCCCUUCAGUUGUGUUUAAAUGUGAGGCGGAAAAUCAUCUCUGUGGCUCAGGGGAGUGAAGAGGCGAUUCUAGUGUUAGAUGAGCGGGUUUGCCGUGCUUAAAUCAUAGCGCUCUCUCUCUUUCGCUUUUCGUUUGUCCUACAGUGUUUCUGAUUUCAGCUUCAGGCUUCAAAGUGAGAAGACAGAAGAACUGAGAGUUUCUACAAGACAACAAUACCUGGACACGGGGAUAUCUGGACACUUCACAAUGGAUGGAUUGAGGACAAAGUGUUGAGUUCUCCUACGGCUGUCCCUGAAUGAUACAGAGGAGUGUUGGGAUGUCGUGGCUGGUGUGGGUGUGGGUCAGUGUGACAGUCCUGCUGAUGUGUGAGGCCACUUUCUAUGAGACCAUCCAGCAGCACCUGGCCCCGCCUGGAACCAACAUACAGAUCCUUGGGGGAAAGGUUCAGGUAUUCAUCUCUCAGAGUGGCUGAAUCAAGAAGGAUUAAACCAUAACCCGGAAUAAAUCAAGUUUUAUCUACUACCUCAGUUGCAUCACACUUUCAACACCUUAAAAAUAAGGGUACAUUUAUUCCAUUACGUUCUCCUUGUUUUUAGUUUAUCCAUGCCUUAGUUUAACAGUAAACCUAAGCUACUUUAAAUCUAGUUGCUCUAGUGCUAUAAACUUUAGUUAAAGUGCCCCUAUUAUGCCAUUUCCAAUAUUGCCUUUCAUGCAGUGUGUAAUGUAGCUGUAUGUGUAUGAGUUGCAUAGCCUAAAGUGCACAUUAAAUAAAGUUAUUGUCUCCCAAAAGAAAGAAUCGACUCUGAACAGAGGUCACGGGGUAAUACAUUUGCAUAAUGCCUGCCUAUGUUCUACGUUGGCUGUAAUAACCCGUCCACAAAUAAUUUGACUUGCCCUCAAACACUGUAGCUUGUUUGUGUAGUUAACAUUAUGUUAAGAGGCUGUGAAAGUAAAUUCAUUGUAUUUUCACUUCUGAAAAAUGAGGAUGCACAGAAUCAAUGGUUAAAAUUCACAGCAGUACAACCCCAAUCUUUUUUGUGCUCCCUUCAUUUUACUGACGACCGCUUCUUUAAUCUCGGGGAGUUCAACACUUGCUCUUGAAAGAUGGCUCAGUAUCCUGUUUAUUUGGACCAGCUGGCUCCACUGAAUCACAACCUCUAAGCAAGAUAAGUAAUAGAUAUUUAUAUUUUCUAUCAAACGAUCAAAAUACGUAACUAUGGGUGUAUUGUUUCGGACACGCACUGUACACGGUAGACCAAUCACAACAGCCUGUGCCGUCUGACCAAUCAGAGCAGAGUAGACUCAUGGAAAGGAGGGGUUUAGAGAGACUGAAUCUUAGAACUGUCUCAGACGAAUCGUUU